Molecule: unclassified non-coding RNA, 341 nt
Filed under: soil metagenome
Description: partial contains 5.8S ribosomal RNA, internal transcribed spacer 2, and large subunit ribosomal RNA
Rfam family: 5.8S ribosomal RNA (bases 1-120)
Source: RNAcentral
GAUGAAGAACGCAGCAAAAUGCGAUAAGUAAUGUGAAUUGCAGAAUUCAGUGAAUCAUCGAAUCUUUGAACGCACAUUGCGCCCGCCAGUAUUCUGGCGGGCAUGCCUGUUCGAGCGUCAUUUCAACCCUCAAGCCCCCGGGCUUGGUGUUGGGGAUCGGCCGCCCUCCGGCGCGCCGGCCCCGAAAUCUAGUGGCGGUCUCGCUGUAGCCUCCUCUGCGUAGUAGCACACCUCGCACCGGAACGCAGCCUGGCCACGCCGUUAAACCCCCCACUUCUGAAGGUUGACCUCGGAUCAGGUAGGAAUACCCGCUGAACUUAAGCAUAUCAAUAAGCGGAGGA